Molecule: ribosomal RNA, 497 nt
Filed under: uncultured bacterium
Lineage: Bacteria
Description: partial 16S ribosomal RNA
Rfam family: Bacterial small subunit ribosomal RNA
Source: RNAcentral
GAUGAACGCUGGCGGCGUGCCUAUUACAUGCAAGUCGAGCGAACAGACGAGGAGCUUGCUCCUCUGACGUUAGCGGCGGACGGGUGAGUAACACGUGGAUAACCUACCUAUAAGACUGGGAUAACUUCGGGAAACCGGAGCUAAUACCGGAUAAUAUAUUGAACCGCAUGGUUCAAUAGUGAAAGACGGUUUUGCUGUCACUUAUAGAUGGAUCCGCGCCGCAUUAGCUAGUUGGUAAGGUAACGGCUUACCAAGGCAACGAUGCGUAGCCGACCUGAGAGGGUGAUCGGCCACUCUGGAACUGAGACACGGUCCAGACUCCUACGGGAGGCAGCAGUAGGGAAUCUUCCGCAAUGGGCGAAAGCUUGACGGAGCAACGCCGCGUGAGUGAUGAAGGUCUUCGGAUCGUAAAACUCUGUUAUUAGGGAAGAACAAAUGUGUAAGUAACUAUGCACGUCUUGACGGUACCUAAUCAGAAAGCCACGGCUAACUACGUG